RNAcentral lists this long non-coding RNA (672 nucleotides) under Nicotiana benthamiana. RNAcentral's name for it is "long non-coding RNA (NBEN_LNC021673)". Lineage: Eukaryota; Viridiplantae; Streptophyta; Magnoliopsida; Solanales; Solanaceae. The record is from RNAcentral.
AGUAUAUUAAUAUGAAGUUCGUUUGUCGUAUUUAUUUCUAUUUGUGUGACAACUCAUUAGAUUCGAUAAUACCAGAAGCUUCAGCCAUUUGCAACUAUUUUCCAUUGUUGGUCUGCUCUUCUCUAGAGCCUAAAUGCUUCUCUAUGUCAGCCGGAAAUUGACACUGAUCUGGUUGAUAAACCUAAUUAACAAGAAGAAAAUUUUGGGUAUAGCCUCACAUUGCUUAAUAAAGUUUGGAAUUUUUUUUCCAAUUAUUUUCCAAUGUUCCUCUUCUUCAACUUCAUCUUCUCUAUUCUGCUCUAUCAUGUCUCUCUUACGAUAAGAAGUUCAUCUGUAUCAGAAUAACAGGAACGAGAUCCGAGUGUUUGUACCAUUUGCAGAAAGGCUUCAAUUAUUUGGUUUUAGUCAGGUUAUCUUCUUCAGUUUGAUUCCCAGUUAUUUUUCUUGUCUGUAUGACCCCUGUCAUCAAUUUCUCAUCCCUGGUCUUCGUUCCGCAUAGGAUUCUGAAAGGAGGAUUACUGUAGCGUGUAAGCACUCACUGCCUUUAUUUCACCAGAUAUAAAACUUCAACGUUGUGAUAAACUUUUCCUCUUUUGUACUUAAAUUUUACUCUCUUAUUGUUACUAUGAGUUUUAACUCUGCCUUCAAGUCUUUUGUUCUUGGCGGUCAAGG